AGUAGAGUCGGGGUUUCGCCAUGUUGGUCAGGCUGGUCACGAACUCCUGACCUCAAGUGAUCCGUCCGCCUCGGCCUCCCAAAGUUCGGGGAUUACAGGCGUGAGCCCGGGCGCCCAGCCCUGGAUGCCUUGUAAAUCACUACUCACCCGGGAAGAGCCAGCGACAGGCCCCGCCCCCGCCAACCGCCUCGCGCCCUCCGUCGCCCGGUUUCCAUGGUGACGGGGCGCCAGGCUAGGGCGGCCUGGCCACUGAGCCGGGGUGCAGUGGCAGCGGGAGGGUACCUGGCGAUGGCGAUAUGAGCGGUGCAGGGGUGGCGGCUGGGACGCGGCCCCCCAGCUCGCCGACCCCGGGCUCUCGGCGCCGGCGCCAGCGCCCCUCUGUGGGCGUCCAGUCCUUGAGGCCGCAGAGCCCGCAGCUCAGGCAGAGCGACCCGCAGAAACGGAACCUGGACCUGGAGAAGAGCCUGCAGUUCCUGCAGCAGCAGCACUCGGAGAUGCUGGCCAAGCUCCAUGAGGAGAUCGAGCACCUGAAGCGGGAGAACAAGGAUCUCCAUUACAAGCUCAUAAUGAAUCAGACAUCACAGAAGAAAGGUGAGAACUGGGCCCUUCAGUGACUGAUGGGAUGCUCUUGCCACCCAGGGGAGCCCCUCCAGACUGUCCUUGCCCACCUGGCUGCACUGGCCCCUGUAUGCCAACCCAGUGGGGACAGGUUCUGGGGGACCUGGACAGAUGCCGCUACCUCUAGCCGUGGCUGGAUGAUGUUACGCAGCCAAGCACAGCACGUGCUGCUCUCGGGAAACCCAGGGCCUGAGGUCAUUGCAGUGGGGAGGUGGGCACAGGGUGCUCCCCAGACCUCCCUCCUCCAAGUAGAGCUGAAAUGGGAAGGAACCCCUGGGACAGCCCCUGCCCUGCUAGAUCUUUGCCUCAGAUUGCUGCUGUGGCCAGGCCCAGGAUUUCCAGCCCUAUGGCUCUGAGUCCUGACAUGCUGGGGGCCCAGGGGCUCUGGACACACUCCAUCCAGGGAUCCCUUCCUGCCAUCUGGGCAGCAACCAUGGGGACAAAGGGAGGAAGCAGAGUCCU
RNAcentral lists this small RNA (1080 nucleotides) under Pan troglodytes (chimpanzee). RNAcentral's name for it is "retained intron". Lineage: Eukaryota; Metazoa; Chordata; Mammalia; Primates; Hominidae. The record is from RNAcentral.